RNAcentral lists this ribosomal RNA (506 nucleotides) under Anopheles gambiae (African malaria mosquito). Its description in RNAcentral is "eukaryotic small subunit ribosomal RNA". It matches the Rfam family "Eukaryotic small subunit ribosomal RNA", at positions 4 to 491 of the family's 1831-position model. The record is from RNAcentral. Lineage: Eukaryota; Metazoa; Arthropoda; Insecta; Diptera; Culicidae.
CUGGUUGAUCCUACCAGUGAUAUACGCUCGUCUCAAAGGUUAAGCCAUGCAUGUCUAAGUACAAGCUUCCUAGAAAGUGAAACCGCAUAAGGCUCAGUAUAACAGCUAUAAUUUACAAGAUCCUCAUCCAAACAGUUACUUGGAUAACUGUGGAAAAGCCAGAGCUAAUACAUGCAUUAUGCCGGGACUGUUGGCCUCCGGGUCGGCGGAACUGGUGCACUUAUUAGUUAAACCAAUCGCCUCCGGGCGCUUUGAGUUGAAAUCUGGAUAAGGAUGCCGAUCGUACGGUCGCUUGCGACUGACGACAGAUCUUUCAAAUGUCUGCCCUAUCAACUAUUGAUGGUAGUGUAGAGGACUACCAUGGUUGCGACGGGUAACGGGGAAUCAGGGUUCGAUUCCGGAGAGGGAGCCUGAGAAAUGGCUACCACAUCCAAGGAAGGCAGCAGGCGCGUAAAUUACCCAAUCCCGGCACGGGGAGGUAGUGACGAGAAAUNNNNNNNNNNNNN